This 425-nucleotide ribosomal RNA is filed under the name uncultured bacterium. Its description in RNAcentral is "partial 16S ribosomal RNA". It matches the Rfam family "Bacterial small subunit ribosomal RNA", at positions 354 to 796 of the family's 1533-position model. The record is from RNAcentral.
GUGGGGAAUCUUGCGCAAUGGGCGAAAGCCUGACGCAGCCAUGCCGCGUGAAUGAUGAAGGUCUUAGGAUUGUAAAAUUCUUUCACCGGGGACGAUAAUGACGGUACCCGGAGAAGAAGCCCCGGCUAACUUCGUCCCAGCAGCCGCGGUAAUACGAAGGGGGCUAGCGUUGCUCGGAAUUACUGGGCGUAAAGGGCGCGUAGGCGGAUCGUUAAGUCAGGGGUGAAAUCCCAGAGCUCAACUCUGGAACUGCCCUUGAUACUGGCGAUCUUGAGUGUGAGAGGGGUAUGUGGAACUCCGAGUGUAGAGGUGAAAUUCGUAGAUAUUCGGAAGAACACCAGUGGCGAAGGCGACAUACUGGCUCAUUACUGACGCUGAGGCGCGAAAGCGUGGGGAGCAAACAGGAUUAGAUACCCGGGUAGUCC